This 4336-nucleotide small RNA is filed under the name Pyricularia oryzae. Its description in RNAcentral is "Magnaporthe oryzae sRNA M_BR32_EuGene_00128281". Lineage: Eukaryota; Fungi; Ascomycota; Sordariomycetes; Magnaporthales; Pyriculariaceae. The record is from RNAcentral.
UAAUAAUAAUUAUAUUAUUAUAAUAAUAAAUUCAAAUUAAUCUAUAAUAAUUUUAACGGAUUAUUUAAUUAACCCGUUUCUGCCGUAUUAUGAUAUAAAAAUUAAUAUUUUAUUUGUAAACCAAUUUCAAAAUUUUAUAUCAAUUUUAUACCCUCUAUUACAAUAAGAAUUACUGGGAUGUUACCACUAUAUAAUUUUCAAAACCCUGAAAAAGUUCUAAUAAUUAAUAAAACCGUAGGUCCGGUUUUAUUCCAUUAUAAAAUCGACGACCGAAAACGUAAUUUUGAAUUUAUUAAUAACAAAUAUACAGGUUUUUAAUUACAAAGGUUAAAGUCAGAAGUUAUUAUAUUAACUUUAAAAAAUGGAGAAUAUUAAGCAGUAUAAGAAAUACCGCUCUAUUUAUAUACCUAAUAAGAAUAAUUCUAAUGGAAAUAGUAUAACUAAUAACCCUAAUCUUUUUCAAAUCAAAGAAACUAUUUGCGUUUUUAACAGUUUGCUUUAAAUAAUAAUAAUAUUAUAUACCCUACAAACUUCCAUUAUAAUAAGGUUUUUUUUAAAUUUGGAUUUCUUAAUAAUCGCCCGCAAUUUUAUUUUUUUCAACGGUUAUCCAAUUAUGGGUAAUUUAAUUUAAAUUGAGAAAAAUAAUUUAUAGGGGUUUAUAUUAAACUUGGUGAUAAAACAGAUUUUAAUAUCGGACUUUUUAUAACGGAAACCCCCUUUGUUUCCGGAAUUAGUUUUUUUUAUAUUUAAUUGCGCAAAAACUUUUAACGUUUUACCAGCUUUACGCGAUUUAAUUUUGCGUUGACUUUGAGAGUUUUUUGCAUUAAAUUUUUACAUUAUAAGUAAAUUUAUAGUUAUGUUUUUAUUUUGUUCGAAAUUUAACUUUUCUAUUAUUAUAUUUCUGUCCGGUUCCGAAUCGGUGUAAACUUUAUAAUUGUUUUUAUUUAUUGGGAUUAUAUUAUUUAGUUUUACCUUUAAUGGGGUUGCGUGAUUUUUCUAACCCCCUGUAAAAUUUGAUUAAAAAUGGUAUUAUAUUUGCCAAUUAGAUAGGUUUAAUUCGAAAGUAUAAAUAUAUUCCCAUAAAAAUAUUGCAUUUUUUACUUUCAAAUAAAACAAGUUUUUGGCGGUAUUUAAAGAUUCCCACGUUUUGCAAUCCCAAUUAUACAAAGUAUUUCUUAAUAAUACGUCCUUUAUAUUAUAAUAUAUUAGCCUAUUAAAAAUAUUUAUUCCAAACAAUAGUAUAUAUAAUUUGUUAUUUAACGUAAUUAUUUUGAAUUGGUUAAUCUUAGGGUAAUACCGGACUUAUAUUUAAACAAUUCUAAUGCUAAUAGGCCUAAUAGGGCCAUUUCCGGUACCGAUUUUAAAAUUGGGAAAGAAUUGAUUUUUUACAAAUAUAUAAUGCGUGCUAGUUAUAUUAUACGGGACCGGUUAAUUUAACCUCUGAGGUUUCAAAUUCUUAUUUCCGCGGUUUCAAAAUUUUAUUUUAACCCUACAAUUAAUUGUUAAUAUUUAUAGUUUUAACGUUUUACCGGUAUAAUCGGGUUCCGAAUCCAAUUCCGUAUAUAAUUUUAUAACCCUGUUAAUAACGGAAUUAAUAUCCUAUUGCAAUAUCCUGUACGGUAAAUUACCGCCCGAAUUGUUUAUUUCUUGUAAAACGUUAAACGAUACGCAUGCGUUAGCGUUAUAAUCGAACCCGUAAAUAAUUCGAAAUUUAUUAAAUUUAUAAAACUUCCAUCGUUCAGUUUGUUAAAAUUGGAGAGUUUAAUAUUUCUUGCAAAUACGAAAUUGUAAUUAAAGUUUUAGGUUUUUUUUGUAAUUUAACAAUGGCUUCUUGUCCCUAUUUUCCUUCUUAAAGCUUUUUUCAGCGUUCUUUUACCGGUUUUUCAAUUUUCAACUUUAUAAUUAAUACUUUUGGGUCUUCUGAAAUUUAUAAUUGAUACUUUUAGCUAUUGCACAGCUUAGAAUUAGAUAUUCGGAUAUGCAAUCCACUAUAAAAUACUGCAAAUUUAAUUUAUCCGAAUUUUAAUUUAUAAUUUGCAAAGCCCGUUGGGUAUUAUACUAAUAUCUGGUUUAAAUAAGCAAAGUCCCUUUUAAAACCCGUAAAUAUUAAUUUCGGAUAUAUAUAGAAUUAAUUUGGACGCUAAUGUUUGUUAAUUUGAUUAUUAUAAAAUUAAAACGGCUGUCAAAUUCCGGUAUCGAUUUUAUAAAUUUCGAAGAAUUUAGGGUUUAAAAUAUCAAAUAUAACGGAUUUCAGUUAAUUUUAAAUGCAAGGGAAUAAUCAUUUUCCAGGGUUUUAUAAACUGCUAUAAGGUUGAAAUACUAUAUAAUCAACUUUAGUGGUUAUUUGGUCAAAUUGUUUUUUAUAAAUAAUAAUGGGAUUAAUUAUUUGUAUUUGCGUAGAUUAUAACGAAAUUUAAUAAUGGAAAUAAAUUCCGCAACUUUUAUAAUUUUAAACUGCAUUAUAAAUACCUGUUUCCAUAGGUUGAAAUUAUUAACCCCUAUUAAUUUGCAAUUCUUAGGGGAAAAAACACCCGUUUUAAGGAUUUUAUAUUUAUUUUAUUAUUUAAAAUAAAAUUACUAGGUGGAUAAGGCGUUAUAAUAGCUUUAACGUUAAAAGUUUGUAAGUUAGCCUCCAAACUACCGUUAUUGGGGUUAUUCAUACACCUAAUAUUAUCAGAACUGAUGAAUUUGCCAUUGUUUGUAAUUAGCAAAAGAAUUAAAUAUUAAAUUAUAUAUUGAAAUUAAUUUAUUUUGGUAAUUUGUCACGUUCGUGUAACAAAAUCUUAUAAUUGAGACCGACGAGGUGCCUGCUAAGUGCAAGUACUGUAGGAUCUUUUAAUCCAUUAAUUGUAUUUGUUAUAUCGCCGGGCAGAUACGUGAUAUAAUUAACAUUUUUAGCUGCAAAUUUGGAUUUGUAAUUUAACUGUUAAAAGUUCGUCUCAGUUGGGUUUAAAUCCCUUAUUUUGCAAAAUUGGGCUUGGAAGACUGGAUAUAGAAUUAUCUUUAAUUUUAGGGUAGUUUGAACUUUAAAUAAAGUUCAAUUAAUCUUAUCACAUAGAAAUAAAUGCCCUGAUUUGAAACUUCUUAUAACUGUUUACCUUUUAACGGUUAUAAAUUUAUACGUAUUGAAAAUAUAAAGUUUAUUGCUAUUUUUAAUGGUCGAAUAUAUUAGAAAUACAGGGUUAAGUUUUUUCAAUUUUAUAUUAUAUGGGUCUUUCAAUAUUUAUACCACUCCAAAUAUAUAUAACGAACGAAAUUCGAUUCGUUAAAUGGUGCAGGGUAAAUUGCAAAAUUACGCAUAAAAUAAAUGCAAUAUAACGGUUAAUCUGUUUGUGGGCUUUUUAGCGAACAAAUAUAAAGAUUUUAUUUUUAAUUUGUUAAUAUAAACCCUAUUAAACGUAUUAAAGCUUUAAAAUAAUUGCAAUAAUAAUAUAAGAGCCACAAACACCGCACCAAAAACUUGGAAUUUGCAAAUUUAACGUGCGUUGCAAUAUUUGUACAUUAAAUUUGAAUUAAAUGUUAAUUUAAUAACCCUUUGUUAUAAAUAUAGGGGGAGAAACCAAAUAAUAUUUGUAACUGGCCAUUUGUAUAAAAACAGCAAUAUUCUCCUCAAUAUACGUGCUGUAAAAAUGCAAUAAUAACCAAACUAAAGCAUUAAAUUUAGAAUUUCCAACGGUGCAAAAUAUAUUUUAAUAUAUAUAAAUUAAAAUCUUUCCGGUUUUAUAACCUGCUAAUAAUAUUAGUUUAUUAGUAGGGGUUUAGGGGUAAAUUCUAGGUGCGGCGUAAUGUUAAUUAAUAAUAAAAGCCGUGUAACAAAAAUAAGAAUAUUUUAUAAAUAUAAAAUAAAAAUAUAUUAAGAUUUGGGAAAAUGAAUUAUAUUAAUCGGGGGAAAUUUAAUUUUUUCCCUUGAACACCUUUUAAUAUUAAAAUGGGGGUCGGUACGCUAAAAAGCCUUCCGGUGCCGCAAAUGGUUUCCAGACAGUUAUUUUAUAUGGGUUCCUGAAAAAAUACUUUUAUUUGCAUAAAAUUCAUUUUUGGGUUUGCAUUUAAAUGCGAAUUUUAUAAAAGUUUUAAUUCGGUAUAAGGUAAUUAAUUCGGAGGUGCGGGGUAGGUAAUACACCCGGUACAGGGUAAUUAAUUCCAUUCACUAAUUUAAAUUGCAAUUCCUAUAUAUUAUAAAUUAAAAGAAUUCCAACAAUUCCAUUUCGGUAUUAUAAAUUAAAAGUUAUAUAUAAAUAUCAAUGGGCCAAUUAUAUGCAAAGUAAUAUAUAUAGUUAGCAAUUAUAAUAUUAAAUCUCAAGUGAAGAUUAAAUAUUUCUAUAUAAAAAUAGCUAAU